UUCCAACAUAGGGUCUCCACUCCCUAGUUGAUGUUAUUUUAGACAUAGGGUCUCCACUCCCUAGUCUUUUUUCAAACAUAGAGUCUCCACUCCCUAGUUUAUUUUAUUUUAGACAUAGGGUCUCCACCUCCACUCCCUAGUCUCUUUUCCAACAUAGGGUCUCCACUCCCUAGUUGAUAUUAUUUUAGACAUAGUGUCUCCACUCUCUAGUCUUUUUUUUAACAUAGGGUCUUCACUCCCUAGUUUAGUUUAUUUUAGACAUAGGGUCUCCACUCACUAGUUGCUUUUCCAACAUAGGGUCUCCACUCACUAGUUGGUGUUAUU
RNAcentral lists this long non-coding RNA (324 nucleotides) under Nicotiana tabacum (common tobacco). RNAcentral describes it as "long non-coding RNA (NTAB_LNC007586)". Lineage: Eukaryota; Viridiplantae; Streptophyta; Magnoliopsida; Solanales; Solanaceae. The record is from RNAcentral.